UACAGAGGUGGCAAGCGUUGUUCGGAAUUACUGGGCGUAAAGGGCGCGUAGGCGGCCUUCUAAGUCAGACGUGAAAUCCCCCGGCUUAACCUGGGAACUGCGUCUGAUACUGGGAGGCUUGAGUAUGGGAGAGGGAUGUAGAAUUCCAGGUGUAGCGGUGAAAUGCGUAGAUAUCUGGAGGAAUACCGGUGGCGAAGGCGGCAUCCGGGACCAUAACUGACGCUGAGGCGCGAAAGCUAGGGGAGCAAACGGG
RNAcentral lists this ribosomal RNA (253 nucleotides) under uncultured bacterium. RNAcentral describes it as "partial 16S ribosomal RNA". It matches the Rfam family "Bacterial small subunit ribosomal RNA", at positions 524 to 776 of the family's 1533-position model. The record is from RNAcentral.